GUCUGCUCUUGUCUUGUAUUUUUUUUUUUGUGCCUUGAGCUACACGUGCCGGCAGAUUAUUUAAGUCAAAAUCAUACCCAGCUAAAUACAGAUGACCAUUCUUUGGUUUGCUGUCACCAUUCAUCCCAGAAUAAUCUCCAUUCAUUUUAGUUUUGCCGUCAAUACUUCUCUUCAUCCUUGUCGUUUAUAUCUUGUUUACCACUAAUCCAAUAUUUGGUAAAUAAAUACUGAAUAGUGUAAUAUUUGGCGGUAAAUUGUAAUGCGGAAGAAAACAUGGAAAAUUUGCUUGUUAUUGAAUACCUUAAAAUGGACUUGUCACGACCUAUAAAUUUCAAAUAAUAGAAAAAAGAUUGAAUUGUGUUAUAAUAUAAUAAGAUUUACAUUAAAGAUCAUCUGGAUGCUUGACAGAUUUGUUAAACAUGAGGUACUAUUUUAGCCUAUAAAGAG
Molecule: long non-coding RNA, 447 nt
Filed under: Mytilus galloprovincialis (Mediterranean mussel)
Lineage: Eukaryota; Metazoa; Mollusca; Bivalvia; Mytilida; Mytilidae
Source: RNAcentral